AUCUGAAAUGAAACAGUACUUUUCUUUACCUCUCUUCUAAAAAAAAGUAAUUGGAAUCGUGAAACGUCCGACUGCUUUCCGCUUACCUUGGCAGAUCUUUUACACGGUCCCGACUGGAGAAAUCUAGCAAUAAGGCUUUCACGACAUCGCCUUUUGCUUUGUUAGCGCCCUCCCUCGACAGGCUGCAAACUUGCUGUUAACUCGUCAGCCGCUGGGUGUCGGUGAGGUCAAGGAAUGGACGAUUCACUGGAAGAAACAUCAUCACAUCACAUGGAACUAGAAAACUUUCACAAAUUAGUAUUUGGUACAAUAGAAGAGUCACCGUAGGACUGCAACAGACAAGAAUUUAUGUAAACAUGGGUGAUUGAAUGCAUGGAAGGAAGGUAUGAAGAUGAGUAAGAAGAUGGAUGGAUGUAAGAUCAUGAGGAUAUUUUAAGCCAUUCAUAUAAUGGCAGAACAGAAUUAGGCAAGGAUGGAAAAUGUUUUCCAAGUGGGUCUGUCAUCAGAGUGUAUGCUAAUAUAGCGUCUAAAUUAAAUCCAAGUCAGAAAGAAGGGUCCAAAACGGAGAUGAGCAUGUUAAAUAUGGUAUAAAUUAUUUGUACAAUUUUAUAUGAGUUAUGUUUAAAGGGGCAGUUCACCCCAAAACUGAAAAAAAAUAUCCUUUAAAGGAACUUUCUAUCCAUCAAAGUUAUUCUGCUGGGAGUUGCCUAGUUUUGAAGACAUUGGCCGUAGAAAUGCCACUCUUCUCUCGAAUAUAAUGGGACUGAAUGGCGUUCUUUCUGUGGUGUUUACACCGAACUCCACACACCAAUCGUAUCACUGUGCAGUAUAUUUCACCGGGGAACUCGUGCUCGUAUCUUCUGCGUAGUGAUACAACUGCUGUGUGGAGUUCAGUGGAAGAACGUAGUCCCUACAUUAAACUGCUCACUACAAAGUAUGUGGAUUAUCUUGAGUAACAGGGUCAUGAUUUCAGGUAAGAGAUGUUGCCGUUGAUUUUUUCUAAUGUAUUUUUUGGUGCUUUAAUUACCACAGAAAGCCUUUCAGUCCCAUUAUAUUUCAGAGAAGACAUUUC
Molecule: long non-coding RNA, 1072 nt
Organism: Paramormyrops kingsleyae
Lineage: Eukaryota; Metazoa; Chordata; Actinopteri; Osteoglossiformes; Mormyridae
Source: RefSeq, a predicted model, not a curated record